Long non-coding RNA from Priapulus caudatus, 456 nucleotides. RefSeq lists it as uncharacterized. The transcript is spliced from 2 exons. The record is from RefSeq and is a predicted model, not a curated record. Lineage: Eukaryota; Metazoa; Priapulida; Priapulimorpha; Priapulimorphida; Priapulidae.
GUUUAUACCUGAGAUCGGAUAGUCACGAGUCACCUGGCGAGCGUAACUCGUGCGUUACGUGUGUUGGCCCCUGUGCGGCGUAAUCAAUUCGCAGGUGUACGAAGCUACCUGUGUUGCGUGCGUAUAAUCAACUCCCAGGUGCUUUGAUUGGAAGUUGUUACCUGACUGCAUAACCGGUAUAAUCAACUGACAGCUCACCUCAACCUCCAGCACAACCUCCAGCACCACCUCCACCACCUCCGCCGUGUGUGACAUUGACAGAUGGAAGGACCGUUAGCUCGCUGCAUACCUGCACUGUAGCAGCCGCAGGCCUGCUCGUCUGUCAGAGAGACCGCGAGAGAGAGGGAGAGAGAAAGAGAGAGAGAGAGAGAGGGACACGGAGAGAGGCCGAGAACGGAACGGUGACCCGCUGGUCGGAGAAGAGCGACGGACGCGAGAGAGAGAGAGAGAGAAGGA